This 253-nucleotide ribosomal RNA is filed under the name uncultured prokaryote. Its description in RNAcentral is "partial 16S ribosomal RNA". It matches the Rfam family "Bacterial small subunit ribosomal RNA", at positions 524 to 776 of the family's 1533-position model. The record is from RNAcentral.
CACGUAUGGGGCGAGCGUUGUUCGGAAUUAUUGGGCGUAAAGGGUAUGCAGGCGGUUUCGUAAGUCUGGUGUGUAAGACCACAGCUUAACUGAGGGAGCGCAUUGGAAACUGCGAGGCUUGAGUACGGGAGGGGGAGCUGGAAUUCCAGGUGUAGGGGUGAAAUCUGUAGAUAUCUGGAAGAACAUCAGUGGCGAAGGCGAGCUCCUGGCCAUGUACUGACGCUGAGAUACGAAAGCGUGGGGAGCGAACAGG